Triticum aestivum (bread wheat) is the source of this 1268-nucleotide long non-coding RNA. RefSeq lists it as uncharacterized. The record is from RefSeq and is a predicted model, not a curated record. Lineage: Eukaryota; Viridiplantae; Streptophyta; Magnoliopsida; Poales; Poaceae. The transcript has 4 exons.
AAGACUAGAGUUGAUUUGGGCUUACAGGAAUUUGACACCUCAGCUGUCUAAUUCUGUUCAAAUUUAGAAGGAAUGGUGAAACAAGCUCCUAUCAAGAAGACAUCCAGAUUUAUUUCGUGUUAACAUGCGAAUAAACUCUACAGGUCAAAGGGAAAAUGGAAUGGGCUUCCAUAUGAUGGAUGUACAUGGGGGAAAUAAGUCUGAUAUCUUGGUGUUCCAAUCUCAGAUUGAAUUCUUCAACAAGAUUUAGUCCAGGAGCAAGUCUACUGAGAAGAACAAGGGUGUCGAUCAUGAACUUUUGUUUUAGUUGACUGUAGGUUUCAUGUGGAAAUGUAUUUUUGAUCUCAGCUUCUAAUGAUGAAAAGAAGCAGUCAAGAAUAAAAUUUGAUGUCCUUUGGCACCUUAUGAGAUGAUAAACAUCAACACUGAUGUUCUGAUAACUACAAAAUAGGAAUGCAUGCAUCAAUGGGCAUGAAGGGCGUUGGUUGAAGACCAAAGAUUCUACAUUGUUCAGUCUAUUUAAAGGUAAUUGUACUAAACAUCCAGUUCUUACCGCUCUUUACACUUUAGUUAAUACCAUCAGUGUGGCACCCCUCCUUUUUAACAUUCUUUUAGUUAGUAGCAGUAUUAUUGAAGCGUUUCUACCAUUUUGCUGGAGGUUUUAGCGGUGUUCACGAUAUUAGGCUGUAAUUGUUGCCGGCCUCAGCUUGGUAAACUUUCCUGGCUUAGUCUUAAUAUUGAAACUUGCUCGGAGGAUCCAACCAAGGCCACAUUUUUGAUAAAGAAGAAGCAAUAUUCUAUUCUAUCCACAGGCUUUGAUGUGUCAUCAGCAGCUCUAUUACAACGUCGGCUUACCCCAGUUCAGGUUACUGCUCUUUAUUCUUUAGUUAAAACCAUCAUUGUGGCACCCCUGCUUUUAACAUUUGUUUAGUUAGUAGCUGUAUUUUAAAAGUGUUUCUACCAUUUUGCUGGAGGUUUUAGUGGUGUUCUUGAUAUUAGGCUGUAAUUAUUGCCAGUCUGAGCAACGUAAAAUUUCCUUACUUACCGCCUGUUCGGCAGUCAUCCAGCUCCGUGGAGCGCACGGAGCGACCCUUCGGCCACUCCCAAAAAAUAGGCUGCAGCCCGCUCCGCUCCGGCGCGGAGCUGCGGAGCGGAGAGCUGCCGAACAGGGCGUUAGUCUCGAAUAUGGAAACUUGCUCGGAGGAUCCAACCAAGGCCACAUUUUCUAUAAAAAAAAUGCAAGAUUCUGUUCAGCUCUAUUAGUAGUC